GUUUCAAAAGCUUCUUGUUACAAAGAGAUGCCUCGAUCCAGAGUGUCUGUCAAACUCAUCAAUGCUCAGAAAUAAAUGGAUUGGUGCACACAAAACAAUACUGAAAUAACAAACCCUGCUUUCCAGCAAAAUGGAAAUUGUUCUAAUAUUCUGCUGGGAUGGUGGAAAACGAUCAGAAAUUCAAGGACUUAAGGGUGGGAAGUCAGAGAGGAUGUCAGGAUUUCCAAGUCUGCAUAUGCUGGCUUCCACCUGCAGAGAUUAAAGUGACUGCGGUUGUGAUAAACCAGAGUGCUACUUGCUUCUGGCAGCCACUACCCCAUGGUCCCAUGGUCGGAGGAAGCUUCCAGAGGAGUGGACCUGGCAGACAUGGUUUCGAAAUGCUUCCUUGUCUGGAAAACAGAACCAAUGAUGAUCACCCAACUCAGAGGACAGAAGUGAAGGUUAAGUGGGAACAAUGGGCUUGGUACGUAUGUUGGUGCCAUGCGUGCUGUCACUCAGUUGUGCCUGACUCUUUGCGACCCCAUGGACUAUAACCUGCCAGACUUCUUUGUCCACGGAAUUUUCCAGGCAAGAAUACUGGAGUGAGUUUCUAUUUCCUACUCCAGGGGAUCUUCCUGGUACAUAACAGACACUAAAAAUGAUGCUUUCUCUUCCCUUUAUUUCCCCUUUUAUGUCUUUGGUUUAUCCCUCCCUGUGAUAGGGGCAGAGUAAAUGGACAAAGUAGGUGAUUAAAUAGUUGAUCCCACUAUUGGACUAUAAAUAGAGGAAAUAUAGGAGACCCCUGCAAGUUAAUGAUUACUCAGCAAAGCAGGCUUUCUUAACCACAAAACCAAGCAGGCUUGCUUAGGAACAAAAUCAGGCAACAGAAGCAUAGGGAUAUGUCCCAAACAAUAAAACAAUGGUGGAAUGAGACCCA
Molecule: long non-coding RNA, 916 nt
Filed under: Bos indicus x Bos taurus (hybrid cattle)
Lineage: Eukaryota; Metazoa; Chordata; Mammalia; Artiodactyla; Bovidae
Description: lncRNA (ENSBIXG00005011877.1)
Source: RNAcentral